GAGUCGGCCAGGUGAUCGCUGUCUGUAAUUACAGAUAGAGGAAAGUCCGGACUUCACAGGACAGGAUGCCAGGUAACGCCUGGGAGGCGUGAGCCUACGGCCAGUGCAACAGAAAGUAUACCGCCAGCCUCGCUGGUAAGGGUGAAAUGGUGCGGUAAGAGCGCACCGCGCUUCUGGCAACAGUAAGCGGCAGGGUAAACCCCAUCCGAAGCAAGACCAAAUAGGGAAACUACAGGCGUGGUCCGCGCUGUUUCCGGGUAGGUCGCAACAGGUAAGUGGUGACGCUUAUCGCAGAUGAAUGAUCACCCUCGACAGAAUCCGGCUUAUCGGCCGGCUCC
RNAcentral lists this RNase P RNA (338 nucleotides) under marine eukaryotic metagenome. RNAcentral's name for it is "Bacterial RNase P class A". It matches the Rfam family "Bacterial RNase P class A". From Rfam's summary of the family: Ribonuclease P (RNase P) is a ubiquitous endoribonuclease, found in archaea, bacteria and eukarya as well as chloroplasts and mitochondria. The record is from RNAcentral.